This 439-nucleotide ribosomal RNA is filed under the name uncultured bacterium. RNAcentral describes it as "partial 16S ribosomal RNA". It matches the Rfam family "Bacterial small subunit ribosomal RNA", at positions 339 to 795 of the family's 1533-position model. The record is from RNAcentral.
CUACGGGAGGCAGCAGUGGGGAAUAUUGCACAAUGGAGGAAACUCUGAUGCAGCAACGCCGCGUGGAGGAUGACACUUUUCGGAGCGUAAACUCCUUUUAUAUAGGAAGAAGAUGACGGUACUAUAUGAAUAAGCGCCGGCUAACUCCGUGCCAGCAGCCGCGGUAAUACGGAGGGCGCAAGCGUUACUCGGAAUCACUGGGCGUAAAGAGCGUGUAGGCGGAUUAAAAAGUCAGAAGUGAAAUCCUAUAGCUUAACUAUAGAACUGCUUCUGAAACUCUUAAUCUAGACUAUGGGAGAGGUAGAUGGAAUUUCUGGUGUAGGGGUAAGAUCCGUAGAGAUCAGAAGGAAUACCGAUUGCGAAGGCGAUCUACUAGAACAUUAUUGACGCUGAGACGCGAAAGCGUGGGGAGCAAACAGGAUUAGAUACCCCUGUAGUC